This 497-nucleotide ribosomal RNA is filed under the name uncultured bacterium. RNAcentral's name for it is "partial 16S ribosomal RNA". It matches the Rfam family "Bacterial small subunit ribosomal RNA", at positions 28 to 507 of the family's 1533-position model. The record is from RNAcentral.
GAUGAACGCUGGCGGCGUGCCUAAUACAUGCAAGUCGAGCGAACAGACGAGGAGCUUGCUCCUCUGACGUUAGCGGCGGACGGGUGAGUAACACGUGGAUAACCUACCUAUAAGACUGGGAUAACUUCGGGAAACCGGAGCUAAUACCGGAUAAUAUAUCGAACCGCAUGGUUCAAUAGUGAAAAACGGUUUUGCUGUCACUUAUAGAUGGAUCCGCGCCGCAUUAGCUAGUUGGUAAGGUAACUGCUUACCAAGGCAACGAUGCGUAGCCGACCUGAGAGGGUGAUCGGCCACACUGGAACUGAGACACGGUCCAACCUCCGACGGGAGGCAGCAGUAGGGAAUCUUCCGCAAUGGGCGAAAGCCUGACGGAGCAACGCCGCAUGAGUGAUGAAGGUCUUCGGAUCGUAAAACUCUGUUAUUAGGGAAGAACAAAUGUGUAAGUAACUAUGCACGUCUUGACGGUACCUAAUCAGAAAGCCACGGCUAACUACGUG